GGUACGCGCCGCGUAUGCGCGCUGGAGAAGCUACGUGAGGCGAAGGCGAGGGGGCGGUACCGUGGGCGCGCCAAUUAGUGCCCUACGGCAAGCGCCUAGACCCAACGGCGGCGACUACAGGUCCCGACGCGCAUUGUUGCCAAAAGCCCUUUUAUCCUAAAGUUGAACGGUUUUGAGAUAGACGCGGAGAGAUGCAUGCCGGGACUUGUAGUCCCUAGUCGUCAUAGUCAAGCUCUUCUUCCGGUCACUUUCGGUGGGCGGCAGGGAAGGUCAAGGAAACACGCGGACCCCAACACUUUGUUGGAGCCCUCUUGCAGGGCUUGCUUCUGCACAGCUAAACAGAUGGACCAGCUGCACAGGAUGGAGGUUGGUGACAAGCCGGCGCGGUGGCUCAAGCCUGUAAUCCCAGCA
This is a long non-coding RNA of Macaca mulatta (Rhesus monkey), 411 nucleotides long. RefSeq lists it as uncharacterized. Lineage: Eukaryota; Metazoa; Chordata; Mammalia; Primates; Cercopithecidae. The record is from RefSeq and is a predicted model, not a curated record.